This is a long non-coding RNA of Dermacentor andersoni, 394 nucleotides long. RefSeq lists it as uncharacterized. The record is from RefSeq and is a predicted model, not a curated record. NCBI's taxonomy places the organism in Eukaryota, Metazoa, Arthropoda, Arachnida, Ixodida, Ixodidae.
CAGGACCUGUCGCCACUCUGCCCUUCGGCGAGGCUGUGGAGGCUGCUCGACGCCUAAGAAUCGCACGCAGCAGCACAACUGGCGUCCUUGAGCAGUGUCCCGACCAGCCGGCGUGCAGCCCUUCGGCGAAGCUGCGGUAGCUGCUCAAUGCCGAAGAAUCGCACGCAGCAGCAGUGCCACGAGCAGCGCGUACUUCGCCAAGCGCAUCGCAUGCUGCAGCUGCUGCGCCCGGAGCUACCCAGUGUUGCCGAAUGGGGUCCCGUGGACUUCUCUGUCUCUAGAAAGAGUUCGCGCGCGUGGCCUGCACGUUCAUGUUGACGUUCUUGAUUUCAUGAUCCGACGCUUUUUGUUCUUGUAUUCCUUUAACAUUUUAAUAAAUAUGGGUUUGAUUGUC